This 174-nucleotide unclassified non-coding RNA is filed under the name soil metagenome. RNAcentral describes it as "partial internal transcribed spacer 1". The record is from RNAcentral.
CUGAGAUGUGAACGGGACCUCGGUCCCGGGAUCCUCCCACAACCCUUUGUGAACACAAACCCUCUGUGUGAGACUGUUGCUUUGGCGGGUUCACGCCCGCCGGCAGCAUUCGACCAUGAACUCCUUUGUAACAUACCAUGGAUUCUGUCUGAAUAUUUCAAUCAAAUGAAAUUA